RNAcentral lists this ribosomal RNA (207 nucleotides) under uncultured bacterium. RNAcentral describes it as "partial 16S ribosomal RNA". It matches the Rfam family "Bacterial small subunit ribosomal RNA", at positions 568 to 774 of the family's 1533-position model. The record is from RNAcentral.
CGCGUAGGCGGCCAAGGCAGUCGGGUGUGAAAGCCCGGGGCUCAACCCCGGAACUGCACUCGAUACUCUUUGGCUCGAGGCCGGAAGAGGAGGGUGGAAUACCCAGUGUAGAGGUGAAAUUCGUAGAUAUUGGGUGGAACACCGGUGGCGAAAGCGGCUCUCUGGUCCGGACCUGACGCUGAGGCGCGAAAGCGUGGGGAGCAAACA